UUGGUGCCGUUCGGGAACUCUGACACAGGUGCUGCAUGGCUGUCGUCAGCUCGUGUCGUGAGAUGGUUGGGUUAACGUCCCGUAACGAGCGCAACCCUUGUCCUUAGUUACCAGCACGUUAUGGUGGGCACUCUAAGGAGACUGCCGGUGACAAACCGGAGGAAGGUGGGGAUGACGUCAAGUCAUCAUGGCCCUUACGGCCUGGGCUACACACGUGCUACAAUGGUCGGUACAAAGGGUUGCCAAGCCGCGAGGUGGAGCUAAUCCCAUAAAACCGAUCGUAGUCCGGAUCGCAGUCUGCAACUCGACUGCGUGAAGUCGGAAUCGCUAGUAAUCGUGAAUCAGAAUGUCACGGUGAAUACGUUCCCGGGCCUU
Molecule: ribosomal RNA, 375 nt
Filed under: uncultured Pseudomonas sp.
Lineage: Bacteria; Pseudomonadati; Pseudomonadota; Gammaproteobacteria; Pseudomonadales; Pseudomonadaceae
Description: bacterial SSU rRNA
Rfam family: Bacterial small subunit ribosomal RNA
Source: RNAcentral